GGAUUGUGGCUCAGCGAUAGAGUGCUCCCCUAGAACAGGCAGGACCCGGGUUCGAUCCUCAGCACCA
RNAcentral lists this transfer RNA (67 nucleotides) under Marmota monax (woodchuck). RNAcentral describes it as "tRNA.Ser". Lineage: Eukaryota; Metazoa; Chordata; Mammalia; Rodentia; Sciuridae. The record is from RNAcentral.